RNAcentral lists this ribosomal RNA (368 nucleotides) under uncultured bacterium. RNAcentral's name for it is "bacterial SSU rRNA". It matches the Rfam family "Bacterial small subunit ribosomal RNA", at positions 527 to 896 of the family's 1533-position model. The record is from RNAcentral.
GUAGGGUGCAAGCGUUAAUCGGAAUGACUGGGCGUAAAGGGUGCGCAGGCGGUCUGCUAAGACAGAGGUGAAAUCCCCGGGCUUAACCUGGGAAUGGCCUAUGUGACUGGCAGGCUGGAGGAUGGCAGAGGGAGGCGGAAUGCCGCGUGUAGCAGUGAAAUGCGUAGAGAUGUGGCGGAACACCGAUGGCGAAGGCAGCCUCCUGGGCCAAUCCUGACGCUCAGGCACGAAAGCGUGGGGAGCAAACAGGAUUAGAUACCCUGGUAGUCCACGCCCUAAACGAUGUCAACUAGUUGUUAGGGAAGAUUUCCUUAGUAACGUAGCUAACGCGUGAAGUUGACCGCCUGGGGAGUACGGUCGCAAGAUUA